Long non-coding RNA from Ictalurus punctatus (channel catfish), 2452 nucleotides. NCBI's taxonomy places the organism in Eukaryota, Metazoa, Chordata, Actinopteri, Siluriformes, Ictaluridae. The record is from Ensembl.
AAAAAAAACAGGGUACAGACACAAGCAGACCGAGGUGUUGACAAGGGAAUAAAAGAGCAGGACCUUUACUAUCCUUCUGAGGUGGAACUGGUGUGGAGAUCCUGGAGAACUUAGAAUGAAGACCCACCUUAUCCUCAUCCUCUGUAUGAUCUCAGUGACUUAUGUCCAAACCCAAGAUGUUGAAUCCUCCAUGUGGCCAUCAUCUGCUUCUACAGCACCACCAGACCAUAAUGUCUCUUCUGCAGUUGUUUCAGGUGUACCUGUGUAUAUCUCAGUCAGUGUGGGUUUAGUCUUCUUGGCUACUGGUGUAAUUACAAUCAUCUGCUAUAAAUUCAAGUCCAAAGGUUCAGAAACAAUGGCACAAUGUUCAACAGAUUUCUCCUUGAUCUUCUUCUCACCAUGCGGGAACGACACUUCUUCCUGCUCCUGUUCUCAGGAGUGCUGAGCUUCGGAACCUUAUGUACAGCACUGAAUGAAACCAGCCUUGCACAACAGGACUGUAUUGCUACUGAUGACUCCACCUCAGACUUCCUGAUGUGUGUGGGUGUCCCAUCAGACCCUGGGGCAGUAGAGCAGCAGAUCCUCAACCUGAAGGGCCUGAUUGAUGAUCUGCUUGAUGUCUUCGUGUUUAUGAACUCGGGAUUGAAUGGUGUCCCGUUGCUGAACGUGUCUGCAGAAUGGAGCAUCAACUCCACAGGUCUGCUGCAAAAUGAUGACAUCAUCCGGGCGUGGCUGCAGAUUAGGCUGUCUCCACUGCUCUCCUCCAUCUCUCAGAACUUCCUCACCUGCCUCGGCUACAACAACUUCAGCUGCCAGACUUACCAGACUGUGGUGCAGGAGCUGAGUCAGCAGUUCUCCAGUUUAGAUAGUCAGCGGCAGCAGUGGAUCUACUCGUACUUCAUGCAGCCCUUCCUGUCCAGAAGCUCACCGGCAGGUUGUAUGCUCCCUGGUGACUCCACUGAGGACUGGCUCACAAAGAACUUUGGUUCCUUCUCAAUUCUGGCCCAACUCCAAGACUUCAGCUCUGUCAAUGCACUCUUCAAUGGGCUGGAUGUACUGCACUUGUUGAGUCCAGUGCAGAAAGCACAGCUCAUGCUGUAUCCUGAGACAGUCGGUCUGAACAACGAAUCCCUCAGUGUGGUUCUGGGCAGCCUGAUGAGUUCACUAACACCCUCUGGAGGAGAUGUGAACAUGUCCAGUGAUACCAUGUGGAAUGCAGGAUUUCCUGUUAUGUACUCAUCCACUCCACAAGACCCACUCACACAGACGGUGAAUGACUUCAUGACUGCUUUUAGACCUGUUGGGAGUUUUGUCAGAGAAUUUGUGUCUCUCACACAUCAGCAAGACCUGAGCAACAUGAAGAGUGUGACACUGAUUCAGGCGAUGCUAAACUGGACAUUGGCAGAGCUCGCAGCUCCGUAUAAAAACAUCAGCGAUAAUCAGCAGAUGGAUCAGAUGAUGUUUGAUCCUACAGAUGUUAACUCCUGGUUUACGCACGUCGUUGUUCCAGUACUGAACAGAUACCUCCCCAGUGACAUACCAGAUGACCUCACUGCUGUCUUUCAUAAUGUGUUUUAUAUGGAGAAUUCAGUGAACAAUACUCUGGACACUUGCAGUGUCACUCUGGAUGACGCGUGUGCUGUGACUAAUGUGAUGGAGAAUGUGGCAAAAAUCCUGCAGUGUGUGGAGAGCACUAAUCUGAUGCUCACAGGGGAAACAGUCAACAGUCUCGUACUGCACCUCUCCAGCAACCUCAACACACUUCUGAACCAGCUUGCCCACACAAACUUUAGUUCAGCAGAUUCCCCUUUUAGAAACAUUCUAGAACGGAUCCAUGACCCAGCACACGCUGACCUGACGGACACGGCGUUUGUCACCUUGUGGUUUCAUAUCAAACUCAAGCCUCUCUUACCCAGUCUGAUGCCUGAGUACCUGCUCUGCCUCAGUGCCAAACCGUUUAGCUGUCAAACGUUCCAGAUACUUGUGUGGGAGAUGAGCAACAACAUGUUUCCCACAGCAGAGAACAGAACUCGUAUGGUUUAUGAGGACUUCAUCAUCCCGUUCCUGCUCCAGCAGAACUCCACAGGUGCCUGCAUGGGUAACAGCAGUUUAGAGUGGAUCGUGAUGAACCUGGGUGGAUUCUCUCAGUUUGCCACUGUGCAGGAGAUGUACCUGCUGAAUCCUAGGUUUGAUGCUAUGGAGGCUUUCAACGCUCUCACUCUCAACCAAAUGGCUGAGAUCAUCGUUGAAGACCUGCCUCAAUUUCCAGAUAAAAAGCAGCUCAUUGACAUGGUGUUCAGCAACAUACUGACAUCACUGACGAUGAGACAGCAACUUCCUCAGCUCGUCCUCCUCGUCUCAGAGAUGAACACGAUGAAAAGUAACUGUAUGAUCUAUCAGGAAAUGUUUUUGUGGCUCCACUUUGCUUCUCUGUCCACAAACCCAGAAACAG